GGUUAUCCAGCCCUAGUAACAGAAUUAAAGAUUUCUCUAUUAGACACAGAGGUCAUACUAAUAAGAGGAUUUUGCAAGAUCAGAUGACAUUAAAUUAUUAAACUGUAUCCUAAGAAAAAGGACAUCUGUAACCCUAAACAUUAAAUGCUGUGUUUACAUCCCUGACGUUUCUGACAAUGUGACAAAUAUCCUUAAAGAUUUACAUGCUCAGAUAAAAGCCAUGUACUCAGCAACUUUGUCAUGGAAACAACAUCUUAGCUCCUGGUUCUUGGUACUUCCUGGUGGAAAACAU
Molecule: long non-coding RNA, 292 nt
Filed under: Marmota monax (woodchuck)
Lineage: Eukaryota; Metazoa; Chordata; Mammalia; Rodentia; Sciuridae
Source: RNAcentral